AGCAGCAGCCGCGGUAAUACGUAGGGUGCAAGCGUUAAUCGGAAUUACUGGGCGUAAAGCGUGCGCAGGCGGUUAUAUAAGACAGAUGUAAAAUCCCCGGGCUCAACCUGGGAACUGCAUUUGUGACUGUAUAGCUAGAGUACGGCAGAGGGGGAUGGAAUUCCGCGUGUAGCAGUGAAAUGCGUAGAUAUGCGGAGGAACACCGAUGGCGAAGGCAAUCCCCUGGGCCUGUACUGACGCUCAUGCACGAAAGCGUGGGGAGCAAACAGGAUUAGAUACCCCCGUAGUCCCUGUCUCUUAUAC
This 303-nucleotide ribosomal RNA is filed under the name uncultured bacterium. Its description in RNAcentral is "partial 16S ribosomal RNA". It matches the Rfam family "Bacterial small subunit ribosomal RNA", at positions 507 to 807 of the family's 1533-position model. The record is from RNAcentral.